This 1490-nucleotide ribosomal RNA is filed under the name Klebsiella sp. ok1_1_9_S12. RNAcentral's name for it is "bacterial SSU rRNA". It matches the Rfam family "Bacterial small subunit ribosomal RNA". The record is from RNAcentral. Lineage: Bacteria; Pseudomonadati; Pseudomonadota; Gammaproteobacteria; Enterobacterales; Enterobacteriaceae.
AACGCUGGCGGCAGGCCUAACACAUGCAAGUCGAGCGGUAGCACAGAGAGCUUGCUCUCGGGUGACGAGCGGCGGACGGGUGAGUAAUGUCUGGGAAACUGCCUGAUGGAGGGGGAUAACUACUGGAAACGGUAGCUAAUACCGCAUAAUGUCGCAAGACCAAAGUGGGGGACCUUCGGGCCUCAUGCCAUCAGAUGUGCCCAGAUGGGAUUAGCUAGUAGGUGGGGUAACGGCUCACCUAGGCGACGAUCCCUAGCUGGUCUGAGAGGAUGACCAGCCACACUGGAACUGAGACACGGUCCAGACUCCUACGGGAGGCAGCAGUGGGGAAUAUUGCACAAUGGGCGCAAGCCUGAUGCAGCCAUGCCGCGUGUGUGAAGAAGGCCUUCGGGUUGUAAAGCACUUUCAGCGGGGAGGAAGGCGGUAAGGUUAAUAACCUCAUCGAUUGACGUUACCCGCAGAAGAAGCACCGGCUAACUCCGUGCCAGCAGCCGCGGUAAUACGGAGGGUGCAAGCGUUAAUCGGAAUUACUGGGCGUAAAGCGCACGCAGGCGGUCUGUCAAGUCGGAUGUGAAAUCCCCGGGCUCAACCUGGGAACUGCAUUCGAAACUGGCAGGCUAGAGUCUUGUAGAGGGGGGUAGAAUUCCAGGUGUAGCGGUGAAAUGCGUAGAGAUCUGGAGGAAUACCGGUGGCGAAGGCGGCCCCCUGGACAAAGACUGACGCUCAGGUGCGAAAGCGUGGGGAGCAAACAGGAUUAGAUACCCUGGUAGUCCACGCCGUAAACGAUGUCGAUUUGGAGGUUGUGCCCUUGAGGCGUGGCUUCCGGAGCUAACGCGUUAAAUCGACCGCCUGGGGAGUACGGCCGCAAGGUUAAAACUCAAAUGAAUUGACGGGGGCCCGCACAAGCGGUGGAGCAUGUGGUUUAAUUCGAUGCAACGCGAAGAACCUUACCUGGUCUUGACAUCCACAGAACUUUCCAGAGAUGGAUUGGUGCCUUCGGGAACUGUGAGACAGGUGCUGCAUGGCUGUCGUCAGCUCGUGUUGUGAAAUGUUGGGUUAAGUCCCGCAACGAGCGCAACCCUUAUCCUUUGUUGCCAGCGGUCCGGCCGGGAACUCAAAGGAGACUGCCAGUGAUAAACUGGAGGAAGGUGGGGAUGACGUCAAGUCAUCAUGGCCCUUACGACCAGGGCUACACACGUGCUACAAUGGCAUAUACAAAGAGAAGCGACCUCGCGAGAGCAAGCGGACCUCAUAAAGUAUGUCGUAGUCCGGAUUGGAGUCUGCAACUCGACUCCAUGAAGUCGGAAUCGCUAGUAAUCGUAGAUCAGAAUGCUACGGUGAAUACGUUCCCGGGCCUUGUACACACCGCCCGUCACACCAUGGGAGUGGGUUGCAAAAGAAGUAGGUAGCUUAACCUUCGGGAGGGCGCUUACCACUUUGUGAUUCAUGACUGGGGUGAAGUCGUAACAAGGUAACCGUAGGGGAACCUG